AGAAGACUGAAGAAAAGAAGUCAGACAGCCAAGGAACCUCAGGACCUGAGGGACAACACAACAAUGAGUUGCCUGGGUCUCCUUAUUGCUUCCCAUAUAUCCUGGACAGGGAUCUGCAGAAUUCUCUAACCUGGAACCACCAGCAGAAUCAUUGAAGAAUUUCUUUUCCCAUUUCACCCCAUCAGAGGCUGCUUGGCCAAGAUUACCUCGGAUGCUGUAAAUAUGGGAGAGCAGCAUCUUUCCAAUACUUGAGGAGACAAUCUGGACCCGAGUCACCAAUAAGCCUCUUACUGAACAGGUGGAGAUCUGUGGAAUACAGAGCUAGAGGGAAGAGAGCAGAAUGGAAGUCACUGAGAGUCCUUGAAAGAACUAUACUUACUCUCGUUGGUUUGGUCAAUUGUCUCCUAUGGGAAAUGACCAACACUUGGAGAAAACAUCCUGGCAAAUAAGAAC
Molecule: long non-coding RNA, 453 nt
Filed under: Equus caballus (horse)
Lineage: Eukaryota; Metazoa; Chordata; Mammalia; Perissodactyla; Equidae
Description: lncRNA (ENSECAG00000050256.1)
Source: RNAcentral